AGUGAACGCUGGCGGUAGGCCUAACACAUGCAAGUCGAACGGCAGCACAGUAAGAGCUUGCUCUUACGGGUGGCGAGUGGCGGACGGGUGAGGAAUACAUCGGAAUCUACUUUUUCGUGGGGGAUAACGUAGGGAAACUUACGCUAAUACCGCAUACGACCUACGGGUGAAAGCAGGGGAUCUUCGGACCUCGCGCGAUUGAAUGAGCCGAUGUCGGAUUAGCUAGUUGGCGGGGUAAAGGCCCACCAAGGCGACGAUCCGUAGCUGGUCUGAGAGGAUGAUCAGCCACACUGGAACUGAGACACGGUCCAGACUCCUACGGGAGGCAGAAGUGGGGAAUAUUGGACAAGGGGCGCAAGCCUGAUCCAGCCAUACCGCGUGGGUGAAGAAGGCCUUCGGUUUGUAAAGCCCUUUUGUUGGGAAAGAAAAGCAGCAGGUUAAUACCCCGCUGUUCUGACGGGACCAAAGAAUAAGCACCGGCUAACUUCGUG
This 491-nucleotide ribosomal RNA is filed under the name uncultured bacterium. Its description in RNAcentral is "partial 16S ribosomal RNA". It matches the Rfam family "Bacterial small subunit ribosomal RNA", at positions 29 to 507 of the family's 1533-position model. The record is from RNAcentral.